UUGUUUCCUCUAAACCACUUGUUGAAAAAUUGGAAUGAUACAGAGAAGAUUAGCAUGGUCCCUGCACAAGGAUGAUAUGCAAAUUUGUGAAACAUUCCAUAAAAAA
Molecule: small nuclear RNA, 106 nt
Organism: Carlito syrichta (Philippine tarsier)
Lineage: Eukaryota; Metazoa; Chordata; Mammalia; Primates; Tarsiidae
Source: Ensembl